UGGAAGACUAGUGAUUUUGUUGUUCUGACUUAUAAAAGUGACAACAAAUCAUAGCCUGCCAUA
Molecule: microRNA precursor, 63 nt
Filed under: Chrysemys picta bellii (western painted turtle)
Lineage: Eukaryota; Metazoa; Chordata; Testudines; Emydidae
Description: Cpi-Mir-7-P4_pre stem-loop
Rfam family: mir-7 microRNA precursor family
About the family: This family represents the microRNA (miRNA) precursor mir-7. In this case the mature sequence comes from the 5' arm of the precursor.
Source: RNAcentral